RNAcentral lists this ribosomal RNA (507 nucleotides) under uncultured bacterium. RNAcentral describes it as "bacterial SSU rRNA". It matches the Rfam family "Bacterial small subunit ribosomal RNA", at positions 28 to 521 of the family's 1533-position model. The record is from RNAcentral.
GAUGAACGCUAGCUACAGGCUUAACACAUGCAAGUCGAGGGGCAGCAUGAACUUAGCUUGCUAAGUUUGAUGGCGACCGGCGCACGGGUGAGUAACACGUAUCCAACCUGCCGAUGACUCGGGGAUAGCCUUUCGAAAGAAAGAUUAAUACCCGAUGGCAUAGUUCUUCCGCAUGGUAGAACUAUUAAAGGAUUUCGGUCAUCGAUGGGGAUGCGUUCCAUUAGGUUGUUGGCGGGGUAACGGCCCACCAAGCCUUCGAUGGAUAGGGGUUCCUGAGAGGAAGGUCCCCCCACAUUGGAACUGAGACACGGUCCAAACUCCUACGGGAGGCAGCAGUGAGGAAUAUUGGUCAAUGGACGAGAGUCUGAACCAGCCAAGUUAGCGUGAAGGAUGACUGCCCUAUGGGUUGUAAACUUCUUUUAUACGGGAAUAAAGUGAGGCACGUGUGCCUUUUUGUAUGUACCGUAUGAAUAAGGAUCGGCUAACNCCGUGCCAGCAGCCGUCGGU